CCAACACUCAGAGCUGGAGAUGUUCUUCCUCAGCAGGUCAAGGUCCUUUCCUGGCUCAUAGAGACAUUCUGGACACCCCCAGGAGUCAUCCCCAACUGCUGUACACUGCAGUGGUCUAGAAGGAGAGGAGAGAUCAGUUUCAAGAUCUCUCCAUUCAGAGCUGAAGGGGCAGAACAGGACGUUCUCUUCCCCCUGACACCCAGAGGUGAACGUAAAAGGGCACUGGGUAACACUGGGACCACUGCUGUGAAUUUGAAUUGAACUGAAUUUUAAGCUUCAUCUCAGCCCCAGAGAACUGGAGCAAAAUCCUUCUGGACAAGGGAAAGACCCAAGGGAAAAUUUUCAAUGUUUCAUCUGAAAGAAAAAAGGAGCAAUGAAUUUGAAAACACCACAGCAACAUCUCCCAGAAAAGGGAAAGCUGGGUUGACCCUGCCAUGCAGAUGAAGAGCAAAACCCAGAACACCUGGAGGACCAAGUUGAAAUUUCAUCAGUGCUGGACAUCAGGUGACAUGGUGUCAUGCUUUUAAUGCUCCUAUUCCUACUUGAUAACUUUCCUUCAGCUGGAGAAAACAAAGGGGAAGUAAAAUGCAGAACAGGCAGAAAAGCCAGACUCCAGGACAUGAGCCAUCUCACUGUCCUCAGCAGCAAACUGAGAUGAAAGACAGAAAACUUCCUAUUUCCAGUUUCAAAGAAAAGGCUUUGAAAUGCAACCCAAAAAGCUGAGUUGGAAACUGGACUUUCUACCUUAUCCAGUAAAUUCCACUGACUAUUGGUG
Cyanistes caeruleus (blue tit) is the source of this 775-nucleotide non-coding RNA. The record is from RefSeq and is a predicted model, not a curated record. NCBI's taxonomy places the organism in Eukaryota, Metazoa, Chordata, Aves, Passeriformes, Paridae.